RNAcentral lists this transfer RNA (34 nucleotides) under Platerodrilini gen. sp. UPOL VP0030. RNAcentral describes it as "partial tRNA-Ser". Lineage: Eukaryota; Metazoa; Arthropoda; Insecta; Coleoptera; Lycidae. The record is from RNAcentral.
UUUAAAUAAGAGCAUUUAAUUGUUCAUAUUUCUA